RNAcentral lists this ribosomal RNA (906 nucleotides) under uncultured organism. RNAcentral's name for it is "bacterial SSU rRNA". It matches the Rfam family "Bacterial small subunit ribosomal RNA", at positions 245 to 1148 of the family's 1533-position model. The record is from RNAcentral.
UUAGUUGGUGAGGUAAAGGCUCACCAAGGCGAUGAUGGUUAGGGGUCCUGAGAGGGUAGUCCCCCACACUGGUACUGAGACACGGACCAGACUCCUACGGGAGGCAGCAGUGAGGAAUAUUGGUCAAUGGGCGCUAGCCUGAACCAGCCAUGCCGCGUGCAGGAAGACGGCCCUACGGGUUGUAAACUGCUUUUCUGCAGGAAGAAUAUAUAGUCUUAGGGCUAUAUUGACGGUACUGCAGGAAUAAGCAUCGGCUAACUCCGUGCCAGCAGCCGCGGUAAUACGGAGGAUGCAAGCGUUAUCCGGAUUCAUUGGGUUUAAAGGGUGCGCAGGCUGUAAAGCAAGUCAGUGGUGAAAGCCCUGGGCUUAACUCAGGGAUUGCCAUUGAAACUGUUUUACUAGAGUGUAGUAGAGGACGGCGGAAUGAGUUGUGUAGCGGUGAAAUGCAUAGAUAUAACUCAGAACACCUAUUGCGUAGGCAGCUGUCUAUACUACAACUGACGCUGAGGCACGAAAGCGUGGGGAGCGAACAGGAUUAGAUACCCUGGUAGUCCACGCUGUAAACGAUGAUCACUCGUUGUUGGCUACUUAGUAGUCAGUGACCAAGGGAAACCGAUUAGUGAUCCACCUGGGGAGUACGUCGGGCAAACGGAUGAAACUCAAAGGAAUUGACGGGGGCCCGCACAAGCGGAGGAACAUGUGGUUUAAUUCGAUGAUACGCGAGGAACCUUACCUGGGCUUAAAUGCUGGCUGCAUUGGAGGGAAACCUUCAUGUCCUACGGGACCGCCAGCAAGGUGCUGCAUGGUUGUCGUCAGCUCGUGCCGUGAGGUGUCGGGUUAAGUCCCAUAACGAGCGCAACCCCUAUCGCUAGUUGCCAGCAUGUAAUGGUGGGGACUCUAGCGAGA